This is a long non-coding RNA of Pteronotus mesoamericanus, 281 nucleotides long. RefSeq lists it as uncharacterized. The record is from RefSeq and is a predicted model, not a curated record. NCBI's taxonomy places the organism in Eukaryota, Metazoa, Chordata, Mammalia, Chiroptera, Mormoopidae. The transcript has 3 exons.
GCAGCAAGAAGAUGGACAUCUGCAAAUAAGGAAGUGGGCCCCCUGAUCUGCUGGCACUUUGAUCUCGAACUUCCCAGCCUCUAGAACACUCUGUUGCCCUGGAUUUAAAGCCGUCCUUUUUCACCCAAGAAAGCACUCUGACCUGUGAGGACCACAUUUCCACUGUCCAGAGCACGGUUGGUCCCCACCCUGCCCUGGCGAAAGAAUGUUUAUGUGUCCGGACCAGUGAACAUCUGGAAGAUCACCAUCUCCAACCAAUCUAGAAGUUAAAAAUGUAGCAC